AAUCUUCAGUAUUUUGUUGGAUGAUUAAAUCAGAUGUACUAUUUGAUUUUUUAAGCUUACUCUUAGUCUCAUAUGCAACAAUGGCAGAAGCACUGUCAACAUCAUAGAGAACUCCUCCCUUGGACGAAGCAUCCUUUAUCAGAUCUUGAGACAAAUGCAAAGGGUGACUUCUCUGAUCAUGUGGUUCACCUUCCAUUAUCACGGCCACUUCAGAUUUUUGA
RNAcentral lists this unclassified non-coding RNA (221 nucleotides) under Hevea brasiliensis (rubber tree). Lineage: Eukaryota; Viridiplantae; Streptophyta; Magnoliopsida; Malpighiales; Euphorbiaceae. The record is from RNAcentral.